GCGUCUUUGUCCGAGGUCAGCCAACUAUAAAUCAUGAUACGUAUCACGUAUCACGUACCGUAACUGGCUAUGACUGGCGUAAGCCGUACUUUGACCGCAGUCUUUCCGAACUUGCAACACGAAACCGAGACAUCCGGGACAUUCUAGAUUUUCUAGAACCAUCGAACCUAUCACAUGACGAACAUGUGCGACGUGUGACGUUUCUCUAUUUUUGGCACGCACGUGAGCGAGCCAAUCACAGCCGAGGAAUUAGUACCGCGUGACGAGGAGUAUAAAUACGGCAGACGCCGCAGUCAUCGCCAUAACUCGACAAAGACUGAAUCUUAUUUCACCGUUACAUUACAUUGCUGUGCUUCUGCGUUAUUGAAUUGCAAAAAUGCAGAUAUUUGUGAAAACCCUCACUGGUAAGACUAUCACCCUUGAGGUAGAGGCAAGUGAUUCUAUCGAAAAUGUGAAGGCCAAGAUCCAAGACAAAGAGGGAAUCC
Long non-coding RNA from Priapulus caudatus, 485 nucleotides. RefSeq lists it as uncharacterized. The transcript has 3 exons. The record is from RefSeq and is a predicted model, not a curated record. Lineage: Eukaryota; Metazoa; Priapulida; Priapulimorpha; Priapulimorphida; Priapulidae.